This 237-nucleotide ribosomal RNA is filed under the name uncultured bacterium. Its description in RNAcentral is "partial 16S ribosomal RNA". It matches the Rfam family "Bacterial small subunit ribosomal RNA", at positions 100 to 334 of the family's 1533-position model. The record is from RNAcentral.
CCGGCACGGGUGAGUAACACGUAUCCAACCUGCCGUCUACUCUUGGACAGCCUUCUGAAAGGAAGAUUAAUACAAGAUGGCACCAUGAGUCCACAUGUUCACAUGAUUAAAGGUAUUCCGGUAGACGAUGGGGAUGCGUUCCAUUAGAUAGUAGGCGGGGUAACGGCCCACCUAGUCUUCGAUGGAUAGGGGUUCUGAGAGGAAGGUCCCCCACAUUGGAACUGAGACACGGUCCAA